CCUACGGGAGGCAGCAGUGGGGAAUAUUGCGCAAUGGGCGAAACCCUGACCCAGCAACGCCGCGUGAAGGAAGAAGGCUUUCGGGUUGUAAACUUCUUUUAUUAAGGACGAAACAAAUGACGGUACUCAAUGAAUAAGCCACGGCUAACUACGUGCCAGCAGCCGCGGUAAUACGUGGGGGGCAAGCGCUAUCAGGAUUUACUGGGUGUAAAGGGCGUGUAGGGGGGACUGCAAGUCAGAUGUGAACCCCAUGGGCGCAACCCAUGGACUGUAUUUGAAACGGUAGUUCUUGAGUGAUGGAGAGGCAGGCGGAAUUCCGGGUGUAGCGGUGAAAUGCGUAGAUAUACGGAGGAACACCAGGGGCGAAGGCGGCCUGCUGGACAGUAACUGACGCUGAGGCGCGAAAGCGUGGGGAGCAAACAGGAUUAGAUACCCGUGUAGUC
RNAcentral lists this ribosomal RNA (443 nucleotides) under uncultured bacterium. RNAcentral's name for it is "partial 16S ribosomal RNA". It matches the Rfam family "Bacterial small subunit ribosomal RNA", at positions 338 to 795 of the family's 1533-position model. The record is from RNAcentral.